Molecule: long non-coding RNA, 1114 nt
Organism: Hyla sarda
Lineage: Eukaryota; Metazoa; Chordata; Amphibia; Anura; Hylidae
Exons: 5
Source: RefSeq, a predicted model, not a curated record
AUGAAAAUAAUCGCCAGCAGUCCCUGAAAAUGCGCCAAAAACUUACAUGGAAUACCAAUUCUUGUGAGCAUCGAGCUGGCAGUCCUUCGCCAGUAUAAUGAAAGAAAUAGAAAGGAAAUGGCAGUAAGGAAACAGGAAAGGGCAAACAAGAAGUAAGAGGAGUGACAGAACAGGAAAUAACAUUGGAGCCAGCAUCUAUGUAAAGGAAACCUGUUUCUUCAUGUUCUAUUCAGAGGUCACUUGGGGACAGUUGGUUGUAUAGGGAUUUUCCUUUACAGGGAACAAUCCUAACUCCUGUAUGAUAUAUUUUUGACAGGGUUUCAUCAUGAUGAAGAACAGGUGAUAACAACUAUCAUCUGACAACCUGGCUACUGACUCCUUAUUUGAACCCAACCACAGAACCUGAGACAAGACAUAAUCGAGCACACAGGAAGAUAUGUUUAAAUUGGCUUUUUGGAGUGCUUAAGAGUUGCUUCAGAUACUUAGAUGUGACAGGGGGAGCUUAACUAUACAAGCAUGAACUUUUUUGUGAAAUUAUUGUUGUGUGUUGUGUCUGUCACAAUGUGGUUAAUGCACAUUCGAUACCUAUAGAAUUAGCAGAUGACCUCUGUGAACACAUUUCUUUUCAGAGGCUGUAGGGACUUGAGACAAGCAAUGCUGGAAUUGCUUUGCGUUAGCCCAACAUUUUUUUUUGAAUAAUUCAAAGGAGGACGAGAGAGCUCAUCCUCCUCCUAUUCUAUAAUUUUUUCUAUCUGCUAUUCUGUUUUUUUUUAUACAUCACAUACAUAAAUUUUAUUUUGCAUGUUAAUGCUUGAAAACUAGUCUGCCCCAUUGUCGUUGUCCUAGCCUAAGAAACAGAUACACUGUCCACUUCAUGUCAUUGCCAAUGUAUUUCUAACUUCACAAAAUUACAAAUACUUUGACAUGUUUAAAACAUGGAUCAUUUUCUAAAUGACAAAGAUUGUUUUAAGGCUAGCCUGAUUGGAUUACUAACACUUCUUUGAAAAAAAUUGUGUUGUGUGUAGCUUCUUACAUACAUUAAAAUGUAGAAUGACGUUUUUAAAUUCAAAACAUAAAUUUAAAAAAAUAGGAAAGUGUUUUGACAUGUGUGAGA